AUGAAUCAUGGCACAGGAUCGAAUGUCACAUCUUUACUACAUAACAUGAGUUCUAUACAAAAUAAUUAAGUAUUUACAUUAUAAGGAGACAACGGUCCAGCAACCCAAAGUUGACUGGGAGACGACGGCCUAGACCACUCACGAACUCAUCACAGCAUCCUUCACGCGCCUCAUCCUGCGGUACCUGGUCUUGACCUGUGGUGUAUGUGAGACAGCAAGAGUGAGCUCACAUACGUUCAUCGCUCAACAAGUUGUGGGGAAUAAUGUGCAUGAACUCGCCAAAGGUGGGAGCUCACGUGAAGUGUAAGGCUUACCAAAGAAGAUGGUUAGAGCUGAGCAUUGCUUUUAAAGUUGGUCAAAAUUUUAUUAGCAGUUACUAAGUAUAAGUAAAUACCAAACCCAAUUAAGUAGUAGAACAAAAAUAACAACUUCACCCGCGAUGCAAUGCAUAUGACAAAUUGAAUUUAGUUCCAUAAUUUAAUCAUCAGAGAGUCCUGAGCUGCUCAUGACCGUGAGCUCGGCUAGUAUACCAGUUUUACACUCUGCAGAGGUGGUACCCUUUACCCACAAGUCAUGUUACCCAUCUGCCAAGAGAUCGCGACUUCCCAUACACCUCUACCGAGGAGGCGAGGCAGGGUAACACUACGAGGCCUUUACAAAGUUCCACUAGCUUCAGAAAACCCGCUACAGUUUAUAGGAAGCUCCAAUGCAGGAAUCCCUUGCAGGACCGCCAUCGCAGCAAAAUCCUCCCGAGGGCCUCCCUACACUGACCACUCCCCUACUGCCCUUGCCCCUUUCGGGUAAGGUAGUCCUCCACUAGCUUUCCUAAUUAGUCAGCCAAGGGCGUCCCAUUAAACCCUUGUGGUGGCACGUGGUUCUCAAGUUAAGCUCUAUGUUCCAAUUAACAUUUAAUGAUCUUGUCAUGAACAUAAAUAGAAUAACAACAUAAUUGGAACAUAGAUGUAAUGAAAUAUUAACCCAAAACCAUAUAAAGCAGUAGCAGAACUACCCAAGUGAUUCAGGGGUAAACAAGGUAUUCAGGACGAACAAACUAGGGUGACCUAUUGGGUCCCAUCAAAAUUAACCUAUGUAGAUCAUUAUGAUUAAUCAGAACAUGAGUGGGUAAAAGAAGUGAUCAAGGGCACAACUUGCCUGGGACUUGAGAUUCCAGGUACCAGGAUGAUCUUCAGGUGACUCGUAAUCUCGCGCUAGUCGUAGCAACACAAACAAGCAUGGUAUAGACAAAAUUAACAUCACACCAAACAUAAGAAUAAACUGUGUAUUAAUAUCCUACGUUGUAUAACGAGAUCGUGAGUACAAGAAUUACUAAAUUCGGAGUUACGGGUACCAAGUUAUGAAUUUCUGGAAUUAUUAGGUACUUGGAAUAGCAUAACUCAUGUGGAUAAUUUUAGUUCAAGUUUCAUGGCUAAACAAUGUUAUGGUUGGUAGAAAAUACUAAUACAAAAUUAAUGUCACUGGAAUGGACCCAAAAGGGUUUAAUAUGAAUUUUCUAUGAAUUUUACAAGUUUCUAGAAUUAUUUUUGUAUUAAAAAUCAUUUUCUACAAUUAAUUUCCUAUUUUUACUGUUCUCUGGACUGGGCGUCAAAAACAGAGGAACGCAGGGGCUCUAGCGUAAGUUUUCUAAGACUAAGAGAAUAGUGCAAUUGGACGGCGGGUUAAUUCAUCGAAAUCCGAGGGGCUCGUUUAGAAAAUGACCACGGCAAAGGGGUAAGAUGGAAUCUGAGCCGCCCGAUCCAGAACCGAGGACCCAGAUUAAAAGCCCGCUACGACGAACCGGUACGUAUUGUGUGCCGUUCGAUCAGGGACCAACGCCCAGGAUUUAAAUAGCCGAGAGAGAAUCUCGUACAUCCGAUCGGAUCCAACGGUCAGACUCUGACACAUGAAGGGGGUACGCGAAGCACGAUCACAUCCAUCCAUAGCCGAAUCAACGGUCCACCCAUCGCCUCCUUCCUCCGCCAAAAACCGAGCACGGCGGCGGCGUCGGUCAGCCCGCACGGUGGCGCAUCAACGGCGCACACCCAAAUCCAAGCCUCUGAUGCACGAGUUCCUAAGGCAACGAGCUCUAUGCGUAGCAGGGACAAGAGUGAACGUUGAAGAGGGUUACUUACCCAGAUUAAUGAAGCGAAGCCGGUCGACCACAGCCGGGGCGGAUACGCGGCUCCGGCUGCCGAGCUCCACAGAUGGCAAGGCCAGGCGCGUGCGGCCAUAGAGCACGCGGGGGCACCUUGCACUUGGGUUCGAGAGAGUACACAGGGAAGGUUGGAGGCUCGCCCAUGGAGGGAGCCCCGCCCGGCCUCCAAGGAAGAGGAGCAGGGGCGAUGGUUGCCGAGCGCCAUGGAUGGGCAGAAGGAGAGGAGGUCACGCGUCCUAGAUAUAUGGCCUCGAGCCCCAGGGAUCCGCGAUAACCGGUUAUGGUUGGCCGUGGAACUCACGCGAAGACCGCCGAUGGCUCAGGCACGCGCGGGAUUUCCGGCCGGGUUGUUGGAACGACUAGCGACAUCCACUGAUCCACGCGGACUCCUGGGUUUAGUUCAUGCGAACGCGAGGGGAAAGGGACGAUUCCGACCGCGGAGAAGAAGUGCCUGACGAUGCGGGCCCAAUCGUCAGUCAGCGAUUAGAGUACCUAGCGCACGCGGUGAGGAGCCGGCCAGUGGGGCAUCGUUGUCAGUGGCAGGGCGAGUGGCGGGCUGGUGAGGGGAGGGGAGAGUGGGCCGAAUUGUGCAGAAUUGGCCCAGGCGCGGUUUCUCUAUUUUUUUUUUCUUUUAUCUUUUCUGUUUUCUUUUCAAAUUCAGUUUAAAUUCAAACAUGUUUUGAACUUCAACUUUUCAAGUGUCACAAUAAUUCCUAAUAUAAAAUCUAUUGUUUACAAUAUUUUUUUUCCUAUUCUUUCCCUUGUCAUCUAUUUACCAAAGGAAUAAAUGGUUCCAUAAAUUGUUUUCUUUCUCAUUUAGAAAAAUAGUACUUUGAAUGUGGAAUGAGAAGUAAAAGUUACUUCAAAAUUAGAUAUUCAUAUAAAUAAAUGCUUAUGGUGCAUCAUUUAAUGAUAUGCACAAUUAUUUAGUUGAAUAGAAACCUUUCUAUAUUUUAUAAAUUACUUCUCAGUUUCAAAAUUCAGUCCACAACAUUCAUUACUCAAGUAUAAGUUGAGAUAUUUGAACUUACUAUUUUAUUUAUAUAUUUAUUUAUUGUCUUAUGCAAAUUUUGGGCUUUACAAAUCCUACCCCCCUUAAAAAUAAUCUCGUCCUCGAGAUUAGUAAGCAGAAGGGUUAUACCGAGGUUGGUUUAUAAUUGAGAUUGUAGUUUCUAAUGGAUUCAAAAAUUAAGAGUCUCUCUCUUUCUCUUUUUAAAAUACUAUUUAGCAAGUACUUAGAAAUGCAUGGGUAUCUUCUAUGUUUAGACACACAGGUAAGAAGAGAGAUGGUCAGAGUGAGGGUAGCUGAUGGUAAGAAGAACUUGGUAAGGGAAGACUCCGUCCAAGGUGGUAAAUUUGAAUCAUCUCGAGAUCUGAUUUGACUCCUAUUCUUCCAUGUCGAGGUUGAUCUCCUCCUUCUUGCUCUUUGGUGUCUCCAUCCGGGGUUGGGACAAGAGGUUAAGAUAGAUCUAUUAUGUAGGUCAAGUUGUUGGGUAUGGCCGAGUUGAUCUAGGAUCUCAAACUUGUUUAUAGGAGCAGGGUCUAAUGUAUUUCACCAGGAUUAACUAACUUCUUAGGUCACUCUCUUUAAAUUGGAUCAUAGUAGAUUAGAUGGGAUCUAGAUUAGAUUGGUAUGACUAGCUUGACUAGAUAAGAUCUAAUUAAUUUGCAUUAGAUCAUGGUUGUUAAACUAGGGUGGAUAAGUAUGCUUAUUAGGAUAAGAUGGAUCCAUAAAGAUAAGAUGGAAUCUUUUGAGGUUAGUAAGAUCUAUUAGGAUAUGAUAGAAUCUUUUCGGGAUAAGAUGGAUCUAUUAAGAUGAGAUAGAUCUUUUAAGAUAAGGUGGAUCUAUUAAGCUAGAUACAUUUUUAAUGAGGGACAAUCUAAGUUUGAUUAGUUAUAUAUAUGCCUAAGUAUAUGUAGAUGCAAUUGUGGACACUACUCCACAACUCAUCCCACUCAAUCAACGAUCCAAAUCAGACAAGUAUCAUAAUAACAAACAUUCAAGCACAUAGAUAAAAAUAGUUUUGUUUUUGUCCCUAAGAUUAGGUCUCCUAUUCCUAAAGUCACUUUAGGUUAAGGAUUUCAAAGUGUGAAAUCCACAUUUGUCUUUAGAAGUGAAAAGGUAAGAGUAAUCAGAGUAAAGCAGCAGUAUAUGGGGAAAAGAUUAAGGGAAGUUUAGAAAGAAUCAGAGCAGCAAAGGUAAGUAAGUAAGGGUUGUCCAUUUCUAUCUAGGUUUCGUCCUACAGUCAACAUUCCUCUGAUACCACUUCUGUAACACCCGGGUUUUAGGGGUCCAAAGCCCGGGCGUAAACAUAAUCACCAGGUGUGCUGGGACCAAGUCUCACACAUAUGAUGAAUCAUGGCACAGGAUCGAAUGUCACAUCUUUACUACAUAACAUGAGUUCUAUACAAAAUAAUUAAGUAUUUACAUUAUAAGGAGACAACGGUCCAGCAACCCAAAGUUGACUGGGAGACGACGGCCUAGACCACUCACGAACUCAUCACAGCAUCCUUCACGCGCCUCAUCCUGCGGUACCUGGUCUUGACCUGUGGUGUAUGUGAGACAGCAAGAGUGAGCUCACAUACGUUCAUCGCUCAACAAGUUGUGGGGAAUAAUGUGCAUGAACUCGCCAAAGGUGGGAGCUCACGUGAAGUGUAAGGCUUACCAAAGAAGAUGGUUAGAGCUGAGCAUUGCUUUUAAAGUUGGUCAAAAUUUUAUUAGCAGUUACUAAGUAUAAGUAAAUACCAAACCCAAUUAAGUAGUAGAACAAAAAUAACAACUUCACCCGCGAUGCAAUGCAUAUGACAAAUUGAAUUUAGUUCCAUAAUUUAAUCAUCAGAGAGUCCUGAGCUGCUCAUGACCGUGAGCUCGGCUAGUAUACCAGUUUUACACUCUGCAGAGGUGGUACCCUUUACCCACAAGUCAUGUUACCCAUCUGCCAAGAGAUCGCGACUUCCCAUACACCUCUACCGAGGAGGCGAGGCAGGGUAACACUACGAGGCCUUUACAAAGUUCCACUAGCUUCAGAAAACCCGCUACAGUUUAUAGGAAGCUCCAAUGCAGGAAUCCCUUGCAGGACCGCCAUCGCAGCAAAAUCCUCCCGAGGGCCUCCCUACACUGACCACUCCCCUACUGCCCUUGCCCCUUUCGGGUAAGGUAGUCCUCCACUAGCUUUCCUAAUUAGUCAGCCAAGGGCGUCCCAUUAAACCCUUGUGGUGGCACGUGGUUCUCAAGUUAAGCUCUAUGUUCCAAUUAACAUUUAAUGAUCUUGUCAUGAACAUAAAUAGAAUAACAACAUAAUUGGAACAUAGAUGUAAUGAAAUAUUAACCCAAAACCAUAUAAAGCAGUAGCAGAACUACCCAAGUGAUUCAGGGGUAAACAAGGUAUUCAGGACGAACAAACUAGGGUGACCUAUUGGGUCCCAUCAAAAUUAACCUAUGUAGAUCAUUAUGAUUAAUCAGAACAUGAGUGGGUAAAAGAAGUGAUCAAGGGCACAACUUGCCUGGGACUUGAGAUUCCAGGUACCAGGAUGAUCUUCAGGUGACUCGUAAUCUCGCGCUAGUCGUAGCAACACAAACAAGCAUGGUAUAGACAAAAUUAACAUCACACCAAACAUAAGAAUAAACUGUGUAUUAAUAUCCUACGUUGUAUAACGAGAUCGUGAGUACAAGAAUUACUAAAUUCGGAGUUACGGGUACCAAGUUAUGAAUUUCUGGAAUUAUUAGGUACUUGGAAUAGCAUAACUCAUGUGGAUAAUUUUAGUUCAAGUUUCAUGGCUAAACAAUGUUAUGGUUGGUAGAAAAUACUAAUACAAAAUUAAUGUCACUGGAAUGGACCCAAAAGGGUUUAAUAUGAAUUUUCUAUGAAUUUUACAAGUUUCUAGAAUUAUUUUUGUAUUAAAAAUCAUUUUCUACAAUUAAUUUCCUAUUUUUACUGUUCUCUGGACUGGGCGUCAAAAACAGAGGAACGCAGGGGCUCUAGCGUAAGUUUUCUAAGACUAAGAGAAUAGUGCAAUUGGACGGCGGGUUAAUUCAUCGAAAUCCGAGGGGCUCGUUUAGAAAAUGACCACGGCAAAGGGGUAAGAUGGAAUCUGAGCCGCCCGAUCCAGAACCGAGGACCCAGGUUAAAAGCCCGCUACGACGAACCGGUACGUAUUGUGUGCCGUUCGAUCAGGGACCAACGCCCAGGAUUUAAAUAGCCGAGAGAGAAUCUCGUACAUCCGAUCGGAUCCAACGGUCAGACUCUGACACAUGAAGGGGGUACGCGAAGCACGAUCACAUCCAUCCAUAGCCGAAUCAACGGUCCACCCAUCGCCUCCUUCCUCCGCCAAAAACCGAGCACGGCGGCGGCGUCGGUCAGCCCGCACGGUGGCGCAUCAACGGCGCACACCCAAAUCCAAGCCUCUGAUGCACGAGUUCCUAAGGCAACGAGCUCUAUGCGUAGCAGGGACAAGAGUGAACGUUGAAGAGGGUUACUUACCCAGAUUAAUGAAGCGAAGCCGGUCGACCACAGCCGGGGCGGAUACGCGGCUCCGGCUGCCGAGCUCCACAGAUGGCAAGGCCAGGCGCGUGCGGCCAUAGAGCACGCGGGGGCACCUUGCACUUGGGUUCGAGAGAGUACACAGGGAAGGUUGGAGGCUCGCCCAUGGAGGGAGCCCCGCCCGGCCUCCAAGGAAGAGGAGCAGGGGCGAUGGUUGCCGAGCGCCAUGGAUGGGCAGAAGG
This 6875-nucleotide long non-coding RNA is filed under the name Zea mays. Its description in RNAcentral is "long non-coding RNA (ZMAY_LNC001844)". Lineage: Eukaryota; Viridiplantae; Streptophyta; Magnoliopsida; Poales; Poaceae. The record is from RNAcentral.